Molecule: long non-coding RNA, 1113 nt
Organism: Apis dorsata (giant honeybee)
Lineage: Eukaryota; Metazoa; Arthropoda; Insecta; Hymenoptera; Apidae
Exons: 3
Source: RefSeq, a predicted model, not a curated record
ACAUGGAGCAAAUAAAAAUCUUAUAUCGAGAGAAGAAACGAAAUCGAGCCAUCGACCGAAGAAACGAGAUCCGUCGAUACCAAAGAGAAUACUUUAUCGCAAUCGAUCGAUGCCGCGAGUGGUUACACUGCAAGCGCGUAAAUGGCCGCGAGCCUUUAUUUAAUAAGUUGUUAUAAAUUAAAAGGCUACUGCAUAUUAAACCACUCUCGGCAUAUUUAUAAUGAUUCUUAAGAGACUAUACCGAGCGUAUGGAUAUGUAAAUCAACCUUUGCUGCUGUUUCGAUUCCGCUACAUUUCGAUCCUUGUUCGUCUCACUAUAGCAGUAAAGGAUUCUUCGCGAUUUCUUCUCUCUACGCUCUUUUACUUCGUUGCGUUACCGCGCGUCCAUCUUGACUACCGAAUAUUGUGUAAGUGAAUAUAUAUGGCGUUCGUGUAUUUUCGUGUAAGUUCGUGUCCACGUCGCAUCGGGUGAAACCAGAGGUCCGAACUCUACACACGUGCAGACAUGCUUAUGAAUUUAUUUUCGACGAUGAAACGACAAACGGUUUUAAUUGCCGCCCCGGGCUACGUAGAGAUCGCCGCAAGUCUUGUAGGAUCCUCCGUUUCUUCUUUGCCUCGUUAUCUCAUGGUGAAGCCGCACCGAUAAGUGUUUCGACUUUAUCCAUCGUGAUAGAGAUGUGAGAUUCGUAAAAAAAUGCAAAAGAAAAGUAACCAUAGAGAUUCUGAUUCGAAGUCUCAAGGAUACUUGAAGACGAAAAUGGCAAAGAAAUCGCAAACGGCAAUCACGGACUAAGUACUAACCUAAUCAACCAAUCUUCGUUCUGUUCUUCUGUUUCACUACUCCUCGAUUCUUUUACUCAAAGAAGGGAAAUGAUUCGUUAUCCUCGAAUUAUUCUUUCUGUUACAAUUCUUCUUAUCAAAUGAAGUUUAAUAGUUUCAACUAUAGAUCGGUCCACUCUUUCCCGAUUGGAAUGACUUAUGGGCAUGCGGCGUGCUUUUGGUCUCCGCAAGUCUAUCGCGGGAUUAUAGUGAGCCACGCAACUAUAAUAAUCAUUCUCGUGGCGAUUUUAUUUCUCUUCGAUAAUAUUGGAAUUUUGAUUAUGGAGUGUUGGU